CCUACGGGAGGCUGCAGUAGGGAAUUUUCGUCAAUGGGCGCAAGCCUGAACGAGCGAUGCCGCGUGAGUGAAGAAGGCCUUCGGGUCGUAAAGCUCUGUUGCGGGGGAAAAAAGGCAGCAUCAGGAAAUGGGUGCUGACUGAUGGUGCCCCGCCAGACAGUCACGGCUAACUACGUGCCAGUAGCCGCGGUAAUAAGUAGGUGGCGAGCGUUAUCCGGCAUGAUGGGGCGUAAAGGGUGCGCAGGCGGUCAUGCAAGGCUGGAGGGAAACGGAUGAGCUCAACUCAGGCCUGGGUUUGGAAACUGGAGGACUGGAGGGCAGGAGAGGGCGGUGGAACUCCAGGUGUAGCGGGAAAAGGCGUAGAUAUAUGGAAGAACACCAGUGGGGGAGGCGGCCGCCUGGCCUGUUGCUGACGCUGAGGCACGAAAGCGUGGGGAGCAAAUAGGAUUAGAUACCCUUGUAGUC
This 465-nucleotide ribosomal RNA is filed under the name uncultured bacterium. Its description in RNAcentral is "partial 16S ribosomal RNA". It matches the Rfam family "Bacterial small subunit ribosomal RNA", at positions 338 to 795 of the family's 1533-position model. The record is from RNAcentral.